Molecule: long non-coding RNA, 432 nt
Organism: Sander lucioperca (pikeperch)
Lineage: Eukaryota; Metazoa; Chordata; Actinopteri; Perciformes; Percidae
Exons: 3
Source: RefSeq, a predicted model, not a curated record
AAACAAAUGUUUUCAAGUAAAGUAUUUGUUCACACAGUUAUGAAUGGUUUGUUCAUCGUAAACAAGCCUAUUAGUUAAUGGUUUGUUCAUCAUUAUUAAUUUAUUGUUCUUACAUAAUUCAUCAUCAGUAAAGCAUUUGUUCACAUAGUUAUAAAUGGUUUGUUCAUAGUAAAUAGGCCUAUCUUGAAAAAUAUGUUUGUAAGUACAUGAUUUAUACUUAAUAAAUAAUGAAACAACCAUUUAUAAAUGAAAUAAUUUUCCCAUUAUAAAACAAGUUGCUAACUAUUGCUAAAUGCUUUGUUCAUCAUUUGUAAAGCAUUGCUCCUAUGCUAAUUCUCAUAAAUAAAGCAUUUGUAUACACACUCAUAAAUGGUUUGUUCAUAGUAAAUAAAGCUCUCAAUAAUGAUGUUUAUAAAUAGAAGUUUGACACUU